This 89-nucleotide microRNA precursor is filed under the name Pelobates cultripes (western spadefoot toad). Lineage: Eukaryota; Metazoa; Chordata; Amphibia; Anura; Pelobatidae. The record is from RNAcentral.
UCGAAGCUUUUUUCAAAGUGUGUGUCCAUUCAGUCCAUUUACGUUUUAAAAUAGUGGACUGAAUGGACACACACUUUGAAAAACGAUUC